Molecule: long non-coding RNA, 228 nt
Filed under: Capsicum annuum
Lineage: Eukaryota; Viridiplantae; Streptophyta; Magnoliopsida; Solanales; Solanaceae
Description: long non-coding RNA (CANN_LNC006464)
Source: RNAcentral
GGUUCUAGGAGGGUGGUAAUCUUGAAUAGAGCUCUUUGAAAUUAGUGGAUAUUGGUGGUGAAAUCCUACGCAGUGUAGAUCGUGAUUUUUUACUCUUUUGAGUAAGGAGUUUUCCACAAUAAAUUUGUGUUGCACUUUAUUUUACUGUUUGUUGUUUACUGCAAAUUCUGAGAGCGGGUUCCUAAUACGUGCGGUGGGAUUAGUUGAUUUCUUCAGUUGGUAUCAGAG